AGAGUUUGAUCAUGGCUCAGGACGAACGCUGGCGGCGCGCUUAACACAUGCAAGUCGAGCGAGAACCAGGGCUUCGGCCCUGGGGACAGCGGCGAACGGGUGAGUAACACGUGGGUAAUCAACCCUCGACACUGGGAUAGCCCGGGGAAACCCGGAUUAAUACCGGAUGUCCCAUCUGGCCUUCGGGCCGGCUGGAAAAGGUAGCUUCGGCCUCCGGUCGGGGACGAGCCCGCGGCGGAUUAGCUUGUUGGUGGGGUAACGGCCCGCCAAGGCGACGAUCCGUAGCUGGUCUGAGAGGACGAUCAGCCACACUGGGACUGAGACACGGCCCAGACUCCUACGGGAGGCAGCAGUGGGGAAUCUUGCGCAAUGGGCGAAAGCCUGACGCAGCGACGCCGCGUGAGGGAAGACGGCCUUCGGGUUGUAAACCUCUUUCAGGAGGGACGAAGCCACUCGGGUUAAUAGCCCAGAGGGUGACGGUACCUCCAGAAGAAGCCCCGGCUAACUACGUGCCAGCAGCCGCGGUAAUUC
RNAcentral lists this ribosomal RNA (531 nucleotides) under uncultured bacterium. RNAcentral describes it as "bacterial SSU rRNA". It matches the Rfam family "Bacterial small subunit ribosomal RNA", at positions 8 to 526 of the family's 1533-position model. The record is from RNAcentral.